GAAAUGCGAUACGUAGUGUGAAUUGCAGAAUUCAGUGAACCAUCGAAUCUUUGAACGCACCUUGCGGCCGCCGGUAAUCCGGCGGCCAUGCCCGUCCGAGCGUCGUUUCGACCCUCGGGGCCCCUCCCUGCCUGCGGGGCGGGGGGGCCCCGGCAUUGGGCCAGCGCGUGCCGCCCUCCUGGGGCGCCGCGCGGCCCGCAUUCCAGCGGCGGCAGCACCGGCGACGUCCCCUGCGCAGUACAUUACGCUCGCAUCGGUCUCCCGGCGCGGCCCGCCUCGAAACCCCCCAUAUCAUUAGGUCGACCUCGGAUCGGGUAGGGAUACCCGCUAAACUUAA
Molecule: unclassified non-coding RNA, 337 nt
Filed under: uncultured Sordariomycetes
Lineage: Eukaryota; Fungi; Ascomycota; Sordariomycetes
Description: sequence contains ITS1
Rfam family: 5.8S ribosomal RNA (bases 1-105)
Source: RNAcentral